This 736-nucleotide long non-coding RNA is filed under the name Homo sapiens (human). Its description in RNAcentral is "non-protein coding lnc-TCF7-3:2". Lineage: Eukaryota; Metazoa; Chordata; Mammalia; Primates; Hominidae. The record is from RNAcentral.
AAGCCACAGACACUGCUUCUCAUCUCCAUACCUCCGAGCUCCUGACAGGCUGCAGCUGGUAACGCCUCCCCCUCCUGGCCCAGCUUGCCUAGCUGCCCUCACCUUGACAACCACAGAAAAGCCAAAGACUGCACACAUGUGCACCACACUAUUUAUCCUCCUGCCUGUGUUUGCUACAGUAGCCCCACAAAAAACAUAACAAGGCCACAACAGAGAUGCGACACGUGCCAUGUACCAACUCCCCACACUUCUCAAGGAGGAAAGGCACCUGGUGAUGUUCUGCAGUUCAUCCCCUGCAGCACCUGAGCACCCUUCUCUCUCAGCAUACAUCCCUGCCUGCUGGAGGAAAGCCAGGGACCUGCACGAAACAUCAGCACGCGGCGUCCCAGCCCAUGCAGUUGUCAUGGACAACAGGAGUUCAGAGGAAAGUGUGGGGCAUGUAGACCAUAUGGGCUGCAGGAAUUCAGGUAGCUAUCAGAGUCCAGGAUGAUUUAGGGAAAGGAGUUUACAAAACAGGCUUAUUUUGGAAAGGUUGGUGCUGAGAAGCAGUCCUUCCAAAUAUUGGGGGGCAGUCAAAGCAAGGGCAAAGAGAUGCAGAUGGGAUAGAGACAGUACUCAGGGAGGGGACAGGGAGGAACCACCUUCCUGGCCAAGGCUGGUGAGGCAGUCUUGCACCAAGGUUUAGGGCAGGGGUAUCCAAUCUUUUGGCUUCCAUAGGCGACAUUGGAAGAAGAAA